Molecule: long non-coding RNA, 619 nt
Organism: Erigeron canadensis
Lineage: Eukaryota; Viridiplantae; Streptophyta; Magnoliopsida; Asterales; Asteraceae
Exons: 2
Source: RefSeq, a predicted model, not a curated record
UCUAUCUCCCUCUUAUGGAAUAAACACUCUAGAAAAGUUUCAAGUAAAAAUAAGUGCAUCAAAGUCUUGAAAGAAUAUGAUCUUCAAGCAACCUUCAAGUUCAUUAUGAUCAACAAAACACUUUCAUUCGAUCUCUCCAUUUUUCUUGCUGGUGGCUGGAAAAUGAUGAACAACAACAUAUAUAGAGGCAAUGAUCAUAAUGGGUGUGAGAGGAGUAAUAGAUUCAUAAGCUCACUUCAAGUUGGUACAUAUGAUCAUGAACAUCACUAAUAGUAAGGAUGUUUCGAGUACAUUUCGAGUCGUUCAAGAAAUCCGUGUUCAUCUGCAAAGGUUUGGAUGUUCGUAGACAUUGAGCUAUUCUAUCACAUAUAUCGUGUACUUGUUGAACUUCUCUAUCUUGUGUGCCCUAGUUAAACUGAAGGGAAACUAAGGUAGAUCAAUGGAGAUACUCUAAGAUUGACAUAUGCAUUCACUAAAUAACGAAGAUGUUGAAGCGCAUUUUCAUUAAACUAAUCAUGUUGUAAAAUCUCUAGAAUAAAUUCUGUACACUUCAUGUAAGAUCCUGGUUUUUAUAUCAAUAAUAUUUCAAAACGUCUCAUUUAGAGGUCGUUUGUUAUAA